AGGGGGAGGAAGGACAGGGUGUCGUGGCCGAGGAGGAGGACGCCGGCGGCGUCGCGGUCGGAGAUGCAGUAGGAGAAGCGGCGGGUGGCGGUCUGGGAGACGAAGGAGAGGGCGCCCCUGUUCAUGCCGAGCAUGCCGGCGGCGUAGAGGUCACCGGUGGCGGAGGAGUAGGCUGACGUCAUGCAGCCAAAGACGGUGCGCAGGGGAGAUGACUCGCCGACGCGGAGGAGGUCGGAGGCGAGGGUGCCCUCCGAGGAGGAAGCGUCGGCGUAGGUGAGGGCGACGUGGCAGAGGCGAGUGGACUCCUCGCAGGUGGCCGGGAUGGGAAG
Molecule: long non-coding RNA, 329 nt
Filed under: Musa acuminata (dwarf banana)
Lineage: Eukaryota; Viridiplantae; Streptophyta; Magnoliopsida; Zingiberales; Musaceae
Description: long non-coding RNA (MACU_LNC000908)
Source: RNAcentral